AGACCUCCUGUUAACAGGGUUUGGGUAUUAGACUCUGCUGACGAGUUGUUCUCAUACCGGACAAACUAAUAUUUUCUGACGGGAUCUGGCGUCCGGGGCUGGAUCUUAAUUGUCUAGGCAUGGAGACAGUGAUCUAACAUUUUGGCAUUGUCGGCAGGAUGGAAUAACACAGAGCUAUUAUCUCCAUAAGAGCGGAGUCGGGGUUGUUUCUUGCAUGACCAGACGGUGGAAUGUCCCAGACCACUGACUCCGGGCCACGAGUGAGGACGGGGACGACUCUAGCAGGCGUCUUCUCCUGGCUUACCUACCGCAAUGCAGAGUGAGUGCGUUCUGUUUGGCAUUUCAUGGAAAUUUGAUCACUGUCAAUGACCUUUUCAGAAAUUCGCUGAGAGGUUCGAGCCUUAUCAUAAGGGGGACAGUUUGUGUCGACAAACAACGGCAAACAGAAUAACAGGAACUUCAGGGAACGUCAGAGAGAGAGACGGAACUUCGCAAUCUUCAAACUCAAGAUGGUUCUUCGGGAAAAACAGAACUAACUACAGAGACGCUUGAAGAGCUUCAAGUCUCUUUAAGAACUGACUCCUGAGACAUUUAAUGGAUAGAGGCAUUCUGAGCUACGAAAGAUUUUUAUAUUGUUUAUAACACAUAUACAUGGGUAUUUUUCAUAUAUUUAUCAUACAAAAGCAAUCAGGCCAAUUCAUGAGUGGUUUAUUAUCAUCAUGCUGCAAGAUAUGGUCAAACAUGAAAUGAUGUGAAUUAACUAGAAGGUCAUAGUGAUGUAAUUUUGGUUAAAUCUCAAAGGACAAGAUCCUUAAGAGAAUUUUUCCUCAGUUCUCUCUCAAUAGUGAAAUUUCAAUGCACAUGUAUUACCAUUAUCUGAUUUGCUUUUGAAUGGUUGAAUGGUACCCUCCAAUUAACAAUUCUAGUUCAAACUGACAAACCUGACACGCAACUUGAGUAAAUACUCAGGCACAGAAACCCUGAUGCUGAGAUGGAAAGAUGCUAAAUAUGACAAAUGGCCAAAUGUGGUAAAAGUUGAAAAAGGUAAAAGCACAUGCAAUCAUAAUUGGUAAAGAAUAUGUUUUUCACAAUGAGUUUUUGGAAAUUCAAAUUGGUUUGGUUUGGAUUAAUAUUGGGACACUUUUAAAAGCUUUAGUCACUUUAAGAGUGUCAAUCAUCUUACUCUUGUACAUUUCCAUAAGAGUGUUGAUUUGCUUUAUCGGAUUACAGUUUACUGUUGUAUGACAGUACUGAUAGAAAACUGUUAAUAGUGUUUUGGGUAUUUUGGGUACCAGACAAGACCUCCUGUUAACAGGGUUUGGGUAUUAGACUACUCUGCUGACGAGUUGUUCUGAUACCGGACAAACUGAUAUUUUCUGACGGGAUC
Labeo rohita (rohu) is the source of this 1387-nucleotide long non-coding RNA. RefSeq lists it as uncharacterized. Lineage: Eukaryota; Metazoa; Chordata; Actinopteri; Cypriniformes; Cyprinidae. The transcript is spliced from 2 exons. The record is from RefSeq and is a predicted model, not a curated record.